RNAcentral lists this ribosomal RNA (520 nucleotides) under uncultured Glomus. Its description in RNAcentral is "SSU rRNA". It matches the Rfam family "Eukaryotic small subunit ribosomal RNA", at positions 569 to 1090 of the family's 1831-position model. Lineage: Eukaryota; Fungi; Glomeromycota; Glomeromycetes; Glomerales; Glomeraceae. The record is from RNAcentral.
AGCAGCCGCGGUAAUUCCAGCUCCAAUAGCGUAUAUUAAAGUUGUUGCAGUUAAAAGCUCGUAGUUGAAUUUCGGGAUCAAUAUAUCGGUCGUGCCUUUGGUACGUACUGGUAUCAUUGAUUUCUCCUUUCUGACGAAUCAUGAUGUCAUUAAUUUGGUGUUAUGAGGAGUUAGGACUGUUACUUUGAAAAAAUUAGAGUGUUUAAAGCAGGCAUUAGCUUGAAUACAUUAGCAUGGAAUAAUGAAAUAGGACGUUUGACCCUAUUUUGUUGGUUUUUAGGAUCGACGUAAUGAUUAAUAGGGAUAGUUGGGGGGCAUUAGUAUUCAAUUGUCAGAGGUGAAAUUCUUGGAUUUAUUGAAGACUAACUACUGCGAAAGCAUUUGCCAAGGAUGUUUUCAUUAAUCAAGAACGAAAGUUAGGGGAUCGAAGACGAUCAGAUACCGUCGUAGUCUUAACCAUAAACUAUGCCGACUAGGGAUCGGAUGAUGUUAAUUUUAUAAUGACUCAUUCGGCGCCUUA